RNAcentral lists this ribosomal RNA (468 nucleotides) under uncultured bacterium. RNAcentral describes it as "partial 16S ribosomal RNA". It matches the Rfam family "Bacterial small subunit ribosomal RNA", at positions 28 to 507 of the family's 1533-position model. The record is from RNAcentral.
GACGAACGCUGGCGGCGUGCUUAACACAUGCAAGUCGAACGGAAAGGCCCUGCUUUUGUGGGGUGCUCGAGUGGCGAACGGGUGAGUAACACGUGAGUGACCUGCCCUUGACUUUGGGAUAACUUCAGGAAACUGGGGCUAAUACCGGAUAGGAGCUCCUGCUGCAUGGUGGGGGUUGGAAAGUUUCGGCGGUUGGGGAUGGACUCGCGGCUUAUCAGCUUGUUGGUGGGGUAGUGGCUUACCAAGGCUUUGACGGGUAGCCGGCCUGAGAGGGUGACCGGCCACAUUGGGACUGAGAUACGGCCCAGACUCCUACGGGAGGCAGCAGUGGGGAAUAUUGCACAAUGGGCGGAAGCCUGAUGCAGCAACGCCGCGUGCGGGAUGACGGCCUUCGGGUUGUAAACCGCCUUCGCCUGUGACGAAGCGUGAGUGACGGUAAUGGGUAAAGAAGCACCGGCUAACUACGUG